This 67-nucleotide transfer RNA is filed under the name Emoia caeruleocauda. RNAcentral's name for it is "partial tRNA-Tyr". The record is from RNAcentral. Lineage: Eukaryota; Metazoa; Chordata; Lepidosauria; Squamata; Scincidae.
UUGAUAAGAACGGGACUACAACCCGCCUGAACAGGGCUACAACCUGCCACCUACACAUCGGCCACCU